Long non-coding RNA from Equus caballus (horse), 1591 nucleotides. Lineage: Eukaryota; Metazoa; Chordata; Mammalia; Perissodactyla; Equidae. The record is from Ensembl.
GAAAAGUUAGUUACUAAUUAUAUAUACAGAAUUAAUUAAAGAUGACUGUGUGAUUAUAAGCUUAGCAAAUUGGAAGGGUGGUGGUAGAAGUAGCAGAAAUAAGGGAGAAAGGAAUAGGAACUGGUUUGAAAAAGAUAGUGAUUUCUGUUUUCCCAAAUAUGACACCCGGGUGGGAACACCCAAGAGCUGGUUGGGAAUGUGGAACUGCAGCUGCAGAGAGGUGAGCGCUACCACAAAUAUGUGCAGAUGGGCACAGAGAGGGGAGUGGAGGCAGGAGAGUGCAGGAGCUAUGUGGAAGGACAGCGUGGAGCAGGGGAAGACUAGAAGUCUGGGGACACUCCCAGAAAAUUUAUAACUUGGGAGCGGGCUGUUUGGGAAAGAGCGAUUAGAGGUCAUCUGGCAUGGUGACAAUUGAGCUGAGCCAGCCAUCUCAAAAGGCCAGCCAUUCCUCAAAAGGAAGAGGGUUCCAGGCUUAGGAACAGCAGCUGCAGAGGCCUUGAGAUGGGAAAGACCGUGAUGUGUUCUGGGAACAGUUUAGGGUGGCAAGAAUUGGUAAGGGAGGAGGAAGGUAUAGAAGCAGAGAGAUGAGCUAGAAGGUUCUUUCAGUAGAUCAGGUGGCGUGUGUUGGUGACUUGGGCUAGGAUAAUGACCAUGGAGUGGGUGGAUUUAAGGUAGUAAGAUCAGGGCUUGAUAGAAACCAAGGUGCUCAGGAAUCUUACCCAUGACAAAAUCAUUGGCCCUUGAAAUUUCAGAGUGGGAAGUGGUGUUAGGGAUUGCCUGGGAGAACUCUUGACCAAUUACUCUGUUUCCCACUCUGCUCUGUACAAAUAUCUUAGCAUAUAGCAAUAAUUAUCUUUCAAAUUUGUGUGGUCCUUCAAAGCUUCCAAUGUGUGUUCAUACUUAGUGUUCUCUUCAAGGACAUAGCCUCAUCCUCCCUUUAUCUCAGCUCAUUGCCCUGGUGCUCUGCCCCAGCUAAUUUGGUCCUAUCUUAAUACUCAGGUGCAGGGAAUGGUGGUUCUUUUGUUGCAAAGCAGGACUUAGGGAAGGGUAGGGGCCUCAGAUGGUGGGACAGAAGCUGAGGGAAGUGACUCCUCCCAGAGACUGACUCUGGGUGCACAGUUGGCCAUCUUGUCUUCAGGGCAAGGCCAGCACAGCUGCUUCCUCUUCUUGGAAGCUCCUUCCCACAUCCCACCCUGUUGAAAUCAGACGCAGCAUUCACGUCCAUGCUAUAUUGUCUGCUCUUCCAUGCAGUUUCCCUGCUUCCCUUACCUGAUGUCAUCUCGCAUUCUUUUGAACUCUCACUUUUGUAUUGCUCUUUGGGCAUUUAUCUCAGCCCAAUGUGUUAUAAUUAUUCCUGACUUUUCCUGAGGUAUCAUGUCUUUUCCGCUUCCUUAUGCCCUACAGCCCUUACUGCAUAUAGCUCGUGCAUAUAGCGUGGGCCUAGUGAAGGUUGUUGAAUUGAAUUGAACCCAUUCAAGUUCAAAUACCUGUGUCAGACAUGGUAGGUACACAGAAAAGUUAGAAGGGAGCUGAUUCCCCUGUGAAUGUUUAUUUUUAAUUUUUUUUAAUUAAAAAAUAUUUUUAUUGUUGG